Molecule: long non-coding RNA, 234 nt
Organism: Grammomys surdaster
Lineage: Eukaryota; Metazoa; Chordata; Mammalia; Rodentia; Muridae
Exons: 3
Source: RefSeq, a predicted model, not a curated record
CUACAAAGAUGUGAUGCUAGAGACCUACUGGAACCUCACUGCUAUAGGCUAUAAUUUGGAAGACCUUCAUAUUGAAAGACAACCUCAAACUCCUAGAAGUCAUGAAAGGCAUAUAAGAAGUCACAGUGGGGAAAAACCAUAUGAAUGUAAUCAAUGUGGUAAAGCCUUGUCAUGUCACAGUAGUCUCCAAAGACAUAAAAGAACACAUAGUGGAGAGAAACCCUAUGAAUGUAA